GAUGAACGCUGGCGGCGUGCCUAAUACAUGCAAGUCGAGUGAACGGACGAGAAGCUUGCUUCUCUGAUGUUAGCGGCGGACGGGUGAGUAACACGUGGAUAACCUACCUAUAAGACUGGGAUAACCUCGGGAAACCGUAGCUAAUACCGGAUAAUAUUUUGAACCGCAUGGUUCAAAAGUGAAAGACGGUCUUGCUGUCACUUAUAGAUGGAUCCGCGCUGCAUUAGCUAGUUGGUAAGGUAACGGCUUACCAAGGCAACGAUGCAUAGCCGACCUGAGAGGGUGAUCGGCCACACUGGAACUGAGACACGGUCCAGACUCCUACGGGAGGCAGCAGUAGGGAAUCUUCCGCAAUGGGCGAAAGCCUGACGGAGCAACGCCGCGUGAGUGAUGAAGGUCUUCGGAUCGUAAAACUCUGUUAUUAGGGAAGAACAUAUGUGUAAGUAACUGUGCACAUCUUGACGGUACCUAAUCAGAAAGCCACGGCUAACUACGUG
This 497-nucleotide ribosomal RNA is filed under the name uncultured bacterium. Its description in RNAcentral is "partial 16S ribosomal RNA". It matches the Rfam family "Bacterial small subunit ribosomal RNA", at positions 28 to 507 of the family's 1533-position model. The record is from RNAcentral.